UUAUUUCUAGAAACACUUUCCAGUACCUCUACUUUGUUACGACUUAUUUCAAUUUAUUUAUGAAAGCGACGGGCAAUAUGUACAUAUUCCAAUUUUUAAUCAUUUUAAUAAAUUAAAUAAAAUUACAUUUAAAUCCACUUUUAAUUAAUUUUUACAAAUUAAUAUCAAUUAUAAAUAUUUUUAUUGUAAUCCAUUAUAUUCUUAAUUAUAAUCUGCAUCUUGAUCUGAUUUAAAUUUUAAUUUUAAUUUUUAAAUAUUAUUUUUAUAAAAAAAUAUUUUUAUAACAACGAUAUACAAAAUAAAAAAAAAUUAAGUAAAUUUAUUCGUGGAUUAUCAAUUAUUAAACAGAUUCCUCUAAAUGAACUAAAAUACCGCCAUAUUAUUUAAGUUUCAAUAAAUUAUUAUAUACUAUUUUAGUAUUAUUAAUUUAAAUUUUUAAUAAUAGGGUAUCUAAUCCUAGUUUACAAAUAAAAUUUAUUAAAUCAUAUUAUAAAUAAUUAAUUUCAAUUUAAUUAAAAUUUCACUUAAUAAUUUAAUAUUUAAUUAACUUUUAUUUAAUAUUUAUUAAUUACUAAUAUAAUUUAAUUUAACUUUUGUUUAACCGCAACUGCUGGCACAAAAUUUGUUAUUAAUUUAAAUAUUACUAAAUCUUAAUUUCUUAAAUUUUUAAUAUUAAUUACUAUAAAUAAUUAUUAAUUAUUAUUAAAAUAAUUAAUAAUUUAUACUAAAAUUUACAUGUAAAAUAAAUUUAUAAUAAAAUUUUUAAACCAUAAAAAAUUUAUUU
Molecule: ribosomal RNA, 784 nt
Filed under: Glyphodes pyloalis
Lineage: Eukaryota; Metazoa; Arthropoda; Insecta; Lepidoptera; Crambidae
Description: 12S ribosomal RNA
Source: RNAcentral